AUGAAGAACGUAGCGAAAUGCGAUAAGUAAUGCGAAUUGCAGAAUUCAGUGAGUCAUCGAAUCUUUGAACGCACAUUGCGCCCUGUGGUAUUCCGCAGGGCAUGCCUGUUCGAGCGUCAUUUCAACCCUCAAGCCUCGCUUGGUGUUGGGCCCUGCCCGCCGCGGCCGGCCCUAAAGAUAGUGGCGGCGCCGCCUGGCCCUCAGCGUAGUACAGCUCUCGCUCCAGGGUCCGGCGGCAGCCUGCCAGAACCCCCCAACUCUGUGGUUGACCUCGGAUCAGGUAGGGAUACCCGCUGAACUUAAGCAUAUCAAUAAGCGGAGGA
Molecule: unclassified non-coding RNA, 323 nt
Filed under: soil metagenome
Description: partial contains 5.8S ribosomal RNA, internal transcribed spacer 2, and large subunit ribosomal RNA
Rfam family: 5.8S ribosomal RNA (bases 1-119)
Source: RNAcentral